Molecule: ribosomal RNA, 209 nt
Filed under: Phaeocystis cordata
Lineage: Eukaryota; Haptophyta; Phaeocystales; Phaeocystaceae
Description: partial Eukaryotic large subunit ribosomal RNA
Rfam family: Eukaryotic large subunit ribosomal RNA
Source: RNAcentral
GAAGUCGGAAUCCGCUAAGGACUGUGUAACAACUCACCUGCCGAAUCAACUAGCCCCGAAAAUGGAUGGCGCUGAAGCGCGCGACCUAUACCCGGCCGUCGGGGCAAGUUCUAGGCCCCGAUGAGUAGGAGGGCGCGGCGGUCGCUGCAAAACCUGGGGCGCGAGCCCGGGCGGAGCGGCCGUCGGUGCAGAUCUUGGUGGUAGUAGCA